CCGCCCGUCACACCAUGGGAGUCGAUUGCUCCAGAAGUGGCUGCGCCAACCCGCAAGGGAGGCAGGUCCCCCAAGGAGUGCUCGGUAACUGGGGGUNAAGUCGUAAACAAGGGUAUC
Molecule: ribosomal RNA, 117 nt
Filed under: uncultured bacterium
Lineage: Bacteria
Description: partial 16S ribosomal RNA
Rfam family: Bacterial small subunit ribosomal RNA
Source: RNAcentral